Non-coding RNA from Callorhinchus milii (elephant shark), 1964 nucleotides. Lineage: Eukaryota; Metazoa; Chordata; Chondrichthyes; Chimaeriformes; Callorhinchidae. The record is from the annotation of a RefSeq genome assembly.
UUGUUAAAUAGCGGUCACUGGGGACUGAGGCCAUCUGUCCGGCAGCUCUUUGGCCCUCGGUUAUUCGGCACAAGUCUCAGUUCUGACAAGUGGCCAGAAACAUGAGGUCCCUGAUGUCUCUCAGUCUGCUGCUGGCUGUCUUCUCCCAUGUCCAGGCCGAUGUGGUGCUGACACAGCCGUCGUCUCUAACCGGGAAGCCUGGCCAGGCCCUGCUACUGACCUGUAAAACCAGCGGCUUUGAUCUCAGUGGCUACUACAUGAGUUGGGUCCGGCAGGUUCCUGGGAAGGGGCUGGAAUGGCUCCUCAUGUAUCACAGCUCAGCCUACCAGUACUAUGCGCCUGGUAUUCAAAACCGUGUCACUGUCAUCAAAGAGAAUUCCAAUAACAUCUUCGAUUUGAUCAUCAAAAGCCCGACAGUGGAGGACACCGCCAUCUAUUACUGUGCAAGAAACUCACAGCACAGUGACUACCUUGACUACUGGGGACGAGGCACCAUCGUGACUGUGACUAACGCUGUCCCGUCUCCUCCCAGUGUUUACUUCCUGUUGCCAACCUGUGGACAAUCCCCUUCCAGCGGCUCAGUGACUCUCGGGUGUCUGGCCACCGAAUACAACUCCGAACCGGCCACUCUCACCUGGACGUCAGAUAAAGGCCUCAUCACUGACCAAGUCAAGACUUAUCCCUCAGUGUUCAACAAGAACGGUCUCUACACUCUGAGCAGCGAGUUAACAAUCGCUGUAUCGCAGCUGGAAAAUGACAACAUCCAUUGUAAGGUUGAGCAGAAAAGCAACAACUGGCCACCCGUGGCUAUCCCCGUGCCAGAUCAUGUAUUCCAGAAACCGUUGCCCCCAAUUGUUAUCCUCACACAGUCUUCACCUGAAGACAUCACAAUGCACAAACCGGCCACUGCUGUCUGUUCAAUAUUCGGUUUCCAUCCGGACAAACUCAGUGUUAAAUGGCUGAAAGACUGGCAGCCCAUAACCUCAGGUGCUGUGACCUCUCCGUCGGUUAAAGAAGACAACGGGACAUUCAGCACCAGCAGCCGUCUGACUGUCCCCGCCAUAGAGUGGGGGAGUGGCGCGGUUUACACCUGCCAGGUGUCCCAUGGACCCACCCAGACCAUCAUUGUCAAGAACAUCACCAAAUCCUCAGAAUGCAUGGAUCCCUGUGGAGAUGUUAAGGUCUAUUUCCUGCCACCGUCACAGGAACAGGUUUUGAUGGAAUGCUAUGUAACGCUGACAUGUGUAGUGGCUAACGCACCACUUCACGUCAAUGUGACUUGGACGCAAGGAAAGACACAUUUACAGUCUGGAUAUGGGAAACCAUCUGCCAAUGAUCCUCAGGAAGUCAUCAGUAAAUUAAACAUUUCUACACAAGACUGGAAUGAUGGGAAAGAAUUCUUCUGCAUUGCUAGCCAUGACGAUAUGCCGACUCCCAUCAGAGAGAAGACAUUUAAGAGGACAGUUGAGUACACAAAACAACCUUCAGUGUAUCUCCUCCUCCCCUCGGCAGAAGAAUUGUCUGCUCAGCUGUCUGUCACCCUCACCUGCCUGGUCAAGGACUUCACUCCCAAAGAGAUCUUUGUGCAGUGGACUGUGAAUGACCAGGUGAUUGAUGCCACAAACUACAAGAGCACUGAGGUGAUGGCAGACAGUGCACAUCACCACUACUCCAUGUACAGCAUGUUAUCCAUCUCAGCCGGAGAGUGGGACAGAGGAAGCUCCUACUCCUGUGUGGUCGGACAUGAGGCUUUCCCACUGAAGACCCUGACCAGAACCGUUAACAAAUCCAGCGGUAAACCGAGUUUUGUAAACAUUUCUCUGGUCCUGAUGGACACCGUGAAUGCGUGUCAAUGAGCGUCGCUCAAUACCAUUUUGCUUAGCCUUUUGUGCACCCGCCUCCCGACCAUUGCAUUGUCAGUUGGGAGUUCCGAAAAAUUAACUCAAAUAAAGAUCAUUGUUGUA